AGUUUGAUCCUGGCUCAGGAUGAACGCUGGCGGCGUGCUUAACACAUGCAAGUCGAACGUGAAGCCCAGCUUGCUGGGUUAGUGGCGAACGGGUGAGUAACACGUGAGUAACCUGCCCUUAACUCUGGGAUAAGCCUGGGAAACUGGGUCUAAUACCGGAUAGGAGCGUCCACCGCAUGGUGGUGGAAAGAUUUAUCGGUUUUGGAUGGACUCGCGAGCUUGUUGGUGAGGUGAUGGCUCACCAAGGCGACGACGGGUAGCCGGCCUGAGAGGGUGACCGGCCACACUGGGACUGAGACACGGCCCAGACUCCUACGGGAGGCAGCAGUGGGGAAUAUUGCACACGCAAGCCUGAUGCAGCGACGCCGCGUGAGGGAUGACGGCCUUCGGGUUGUAACCUCUUUCAGUAGGGAAGAAGCGAAAGUGACGGUACCUGCAGAAGAAGGCUAACUACGUGCCAGCAGUAAUACGUAGGCGAGCGUUAUCCGGAUUAGGGCGUAAAGAGCUCGUAGGCGGUUGUCGCGUCUGUCGUGAAAGUCCGGGGCUUAACGGAUCUGCGGUGGUACGGGCAGACUAGAGUGCAGUAGGGGAGACUGGAAUUCCUGGUGUAGCGGUGGAAUGCGCAGAUAUCAGGAGGAACACCGAUGGCGAAGGCAGGUCUCUGGGCUGUAACUGACGCUGAGGAGAAAGCAUGGGGAGCGAACAGGAUUAGAUACCUUGGUAGUCCAUGCCGUAAACGUUGGGCACUAGGUGGGACCAUUCCACGGUUUCCGCGCCGCAGCUAACGCAUUAAGUGCCCCGCCUGGGGAG
RNAcentral lists this ribosomal RNA (810 nucleotides) under Micrococcus luteus. RNAcentral's name for it is "bacterial SSU rRNA". It matches the Rfam family "Bacterial small subunit ribosomal RNA", at positions 10 to 880 of the family's 1533-position model. Lineage: Bacteria; Bacillati; Actinomycetota; Actinomycetes; Micrococcales; Micrococcaceae. The record is from RNAcentral.